CCUACGGGUGGCAGCAGUGGGGGAUAUUGCACAAUGGGGGAAACCCUGAUGCAGCGACGCCGCGUGAGUGAAGAAGGAUUUCGGUAUGUAAAGCUCUAUCAGCAGGGAAGAAAAUGACAGUACCUGUACAAUAGGCCACGGCUAAAUACGUGACAACAGCCACGGUAAUACAUAGGGGGCAAGCGUUAUCCGGAUUUACUGGGUGAAGAGUGAGCGUAGACGGUUAUGUAAGUAUGGCGUGAAAGCCCGGGGCCCAACCCCGGGACUGCUUUGGAAACUGUGUAGCUGGAGUACAGGAGGGGCAGGCGGAAUUCCUGGUGUAGCGGUGAAAUGCGUAGAUAUCAGGAGGAAUACCGGCGGCGAAGGCGGCCUGCUGGACGGAAACUGACGUUGAGGUUCGAAAGCGUGGGGAGCAAACAGGAUUAGAUACCCCAGUAGUC
This 440-nucleotide ribosomal RNA is filed under the name uncultured bacterium. RNAcentral describes it as "partial 16S ribosomal RNA". It matches the Rfam family "Bacterial small subunit ribosomal RNA", at positions 338 to 795 of the family's 1533-position model. The record is from RNAcentral.